GACGAACGCUGGCGGCGUGCUUAACACAUGCAAGUCGAGCGGUAAGGCCCUUUCGGGGGUACACGAGCGGCGAACGGGUGAGUAACACGUGGGUGGACCUGCCCUCAGCUCUGGGAUAAGCCUGGGAAACUGGGUCGUAAUACCGGAUAUGACUCCAUGACGGCAUGUUGUGGGGUGGAAAGCCUUGUGCGGCUGAGGAUGGGCCCGCGGCCUAUCAGCUUGUUGGUGGGGUGAUGGCCUACCAAGGCGACGACGGGUAGCCGGCCUGAGAGGGCGACCGGCCACACUGGGACUGAGACACGGCCCAGACUCCUACGGGAGGCAGCAGUGGGGAAUCUUGCGCAAUGGGCGAAAGCC
Molecule: ribosomal RNA, 357 nt
Filed under: uncultured bacterium
Lineage: Bacteria
Description: bacterial SSU rRNA
Rfam family: Bacterial small subunit ribosomal RNA
Source: RNAcentral